Bos taurus (domestic cattle) is the source of this 1130-nucleotide long non-coding RNA. The record is from Ensembl. Lineage: Eukaryota; Metazoa; Chordata; Mammalia; Artiodactyla; Bovidae.
CUCUGCCCGUCCAGGAGGCCUGCUAGGCCAUCCCUCCCUCCUCUCUGGGCUCAGAGCUUCCUGUGCCUUACUCUUCUCCCAGCUUCCUCCAUCACUCCCUGGAACUCUCUGACACCUCCAUGGACCCUUGGCCACGCUUGCUCAGCGUACUGACGGGCGCAUGCACACACCACCCCUGCCCUUCAUCUCCCUUUGGGCACUCAUCACUGUUGAAAUAAGUCACUUGACUCAGUGUUUGUAUCUCGUCCACCCACUAGAAACUGAGCUCCAUGCAGGCAGGAACCAGGAAUGUCUUAGCCACCACCAGCUCCCCAGUAGCCAAUUGUCUAUUUCCUUGUCUGUGUCCAUCUGUGGGUUAAGGCUCAGAAUGGGGACACCGAGGCAUUUCCAACACCUGGCUGUCCGUCAGUGUCAUUUCCUCCUCUCCCUGACAUCUUCUGUAGAAAGAGUGGCGUGCAGCCAUGGGGCAAGUCCUAGAACCAAAUCUCAGCCCAGCCACAGCCAGCUGGUUGACCCUGGGCAAGUUGCCCAAACCUGUCUGAGUUUUAUCAGCCUCUCUAUAAACAAGGAUCGGUCAUCUACCUCUCAGGGCUGGAGGGGAGACUGACUUAUGUUAAGCACUGACCACAAUCUUUACAGUUUCCUUCCAUUUGAGGUCAUUGCCCAAGAAAGCCAAUUCACAGCCCAAAACAGGGAUCUGGACUGCGAUUCAUUCAUUCGUCAGCAGGACCCACGCAGUGUGGCUGGGUGAGGCAUGGACACAGUAGGUGGACCCCACAGACAAGAUCCUGGCCACUUCAGUGUUUGUGAGGUUUUGCAUGUUCAUCUUUCGUGUUUCUCUCUCUCUCUCUCUUUUUUGGUUUAUGCAUCAAGGUUUUUUUCCCCAAUAGUUUUAAACCCAACAUUAUCAUUAAAGGUAUCUAAAUCUCCCACACCAGCUAAUAAAAAUAUUGUGGGCUUUUCUUCCUGUUAUUUUUCUUUUCAAAGUAAAAACAAUGACUGCGGAUGUCUUCACAAGGAAAAUAAGUAAAGCCAGCUUUUGUUUGCAGACCAAGGUGCGAUAACGUGUCAUUUCCUGAGUGAGUUAAGUCCUGGCUGAGCACAACCUUGAAUGGGAGGAUGUGAUUCCG